This 447-nucleotide ribosomal RNA is filed under the name uncultured bacterium. RNAcentral describes it as "bacterial SSU rRNA". It matches the Rfam family "Bacterial small subunit ribosomal RNA", at positions 355 to 825 of the family's 1533-position model. The record is from RNAcentral.
UGGGGAAUUGUUCACAAUGGGCGCAAGCCUGAUGACGCAACGCCGCGUGAAGGAUGAAGUAUUUCGGUAUGUAAACUUCGAAAGAAUAGGAAGAAUAAAUGACGGUACUAUUUAUAAGGUCCGGCUAACUACGUGCCAGCAGCCGCGGUAAUACGUAGGGACCAAGCGUUGUUCGGAUUUACUGGGCGUAAAGGGCGCGUAGGCGGCAAUUCAAGUCAUCUGUGAAAUCUCCGGGCUUAACUCGGAACGGUCAGAUGAUACUGCUUUGCUAGAGUGCAGAAGGGGCAAUCGGAAUUCUUGGUGUAGCGGUGAAAUGCGUAGAUAUCAAGAGGAACACCUGAGGUGAAGACGGGUUGCUGGGCUGACACUGACGCUGAGGCGCGAAAGCCAGGGGAGCAAACGGGAUUAGAUACCCCUGUAGUCCCUGAGCGGGCUGGCAAGGCGCAU